RNAcentral lists this transfer RNA (82 nucleotides) under Geotrichum candidum. It matches the Rfam family "tRNA". Rfam says of the family: Transfer RNA (tRNA) molecules are approximately 80 nucleotides in length. Their secondary structure includes four short double-helical elements and three loops (D, anti-codon, and T loops). The record is from Rfam by way of RNAcentral. Lineage: Eukaryota; Fungi; Ascomycota; Dipodascomycetes; Dipodascales; Dipodascaceae.
GCCAAUCUGGUGGAAAUGGUAGACACGACUCACUUAAAAUGAGUUACUUAAAAGUUUAGAGGUUCAAGUCCUUUGAUUGGUA